CCUACGGGAGGCAGCAGUGAGGAAUAUUGGUCAAUGGGCGCGAGCCUGAACCAGCCAAGUCGCGUGAGGGAAGACGGUCCUAUGGAUUGUAAACCUCUUUUGUCGGGGAGCAAAAGACGCCACGCGUGGCCUUCCGAGAGUACCCGAAGUAAAAGCAUCGGCUAACUCCGUUCCAGCAGCCGCGGUAAUACGGCGGAUGCGCUCGUUAUCCGGAGUUAUUGGGUUUAAAGGGAGCGUAGGCCUCAUGGCAAGCGUGCUGUGAAAUGUCCGGGCUCAACCCGGGCCUUGCAGCGGGAACUGGUGUGCUUGAGUCCGCGGAAAGCAGGCGGAAUUCGUCGUGUAGCGGUGAAAUGCUUAGAUAUGACGAAGAACCCCGAUUGCGAAGGCAGCUUGCUGCAGCGGAACUGACGCUGAUGCGCGAAAGCGCGGGUAUCGAACAGGAUGAGAUACCCUUGUAGUC
This 460-nucleotide ribosomal RNA is filed under the name uncultured bacterium. Its description in RNAcentral is "partial 16S ribosomal RNA". It matches the Rfam family "Bacterial small subunit ribosomal RNA", at positions 338 to 795 of the family's 1533-position model. The record is from RNAcentral.